CGGCACGGGUGAGUAACACGUAUGGAACCUGCCCUAUGCAGGGGGAUAAGCGGAAGAAAUCCCGUCUAAUACCGCAUAACACCUUUAGGAGACAUCUUCUUGGGGGUCAAAGGAGGCGACUCCGGCAUAGGAUGGCCAUGCGUCGCAUUAGCUAGUCGGCGGGGUAACGGCCCACCGAGGCGACGAUGCGUAGGGGUUCUGAGAGGAAGGUCCCCCACACUGGUACUGAGACGCGGACCAGACUCCUACGGAAGGCAGCAG
This 261-nucleotide ribosomal RNA is filed under the name uncultured bacterium. RNAcentral describes it as "partial 16S ribosomal RNA". It matches the Rfam family "Bacterial small subunit ribosomal RNA", at positions 98 to 354 of the family's 1533-position model. The record is from RNAcentral.